Molecule: transfer RNA, 85 nt
Filed under: Solirubrobacter pauli
Lineage: Bacteria; Bacillati; Actinomycetota; Thermoleophilia; Solirubrobacterales; Solirubrobacteraceae
Also listed under: 2 other names
Rfam family: tRNA
About the family: Transfer RNA (tRNA) molecules are approximately 80 nucleotides in length. Their secondary structure includes four short double-helical elements and three loops (D, anti-codon, and T loops). Further hydrogen bonds mediate the characteristic L-shaped molecular structure. tRNAs have two regions of fundamental functional importance: the anti-codon, which is responsible for specific mRNA codon recognition, and the 3' end, to which the tRNAs corresponding amino acid is attached (by aminoacyl-tRNA synthetases). tRNAs cope with the degeneracy of the genetic code in two manners: having more than one tRNA (with a specific anti-codon) for a particular amino acid; and 'wobble' base-pairing, i.e. permitting non-standard base-pairing at the 3rd anti-codon position.
Source: Rfam by way of RNAcentral
GCGGCUGUGGUGAAAUUGGUAUACACGCUGGCUUCAGGUGCCAGUGGGCUUUACGCCCGUGGAGGUUCGAGUCCUCUCAGCCGCA